Long non-coding RNA from Bubalus bubalis (water buffalo), 713 nucleotides. RefSeq lists it as uncharacterized. Lineage: Eukaryota; Metazoa; Chordata; Mammalia; Artiodactyla; Bovidae. The transcript is spliced from 2 exons. The record is from RefSeq and is a predicted model, not a curated record.
GGGAUUUUCGCCGCUUCUCUCUCCAAAACUGUUUCCAGGAGCAAAUAACUGAUCGCUUGAGGCAGCUCUAAUGAGCCCUGUGAUUCGGUUAGGAGGCUGCGCGCUGAGAGCUUCACCCCGAGGACAACGUGAGGCCCCGCUUUCCCGCCGCGCUUGGGAGGUGCGCGCGCACCGGGAAACCGCGCCCACGGGUGGGACCGCGGAUGUGCCCGGAGACAGCAUGGCGGCUCCGGCAUAAGGAACCCGGAGCGCAAGCCGGCGGCCCGCUACGGUGGCCCGCGGGGGCCCAUAUAGUAUUAGAAUGCUGACUCCCCUUCGGCUCCUGGUGGAGCAAAGGGAAUUUCCACCCAGGGAUCAGAAGAACCCUGAGCGGUCGCGGGGACAGAACAGCCAGGACCACCAGAAGAGGGCACCCCCAGCUGGCCAGAGUCGGAGGAAGAGAGAAGAGCAAGGCCAUUCAUUGAAUUCCUUCAUUCCCUCGUGAGCACCGACAAACUUCGAAAAUCCAUGGACGGCGGUCACAAAGAGUCGGACACGACUGAGCGACUUCACUCACCCCGGGGGUUAAAUGCAAUUCACCAGCCACCAGUGGGACACAGGGUCGCCUCAAAGAUUAGUGUCCCAUCAAGUCCUCAAAUGAUGCUUUUGAACUGUGGUGUUGGAGAAGACUCUUGAGAGUCCCUUGGACUGCAAGAUCAAACCAGUCAAUCCCA